GCGGAGGAAAAGAAACCAACAGGGAUUGCCCCAGAAACGGCGAGUGAAGCGGCAACAGCUCAAAUUUGAAAUCUGGUCCCCCCGCGGGGCCCGAGUUGUAAUUUGAAGAGGAUGCUUCUGGCAAGGUGCCGUCCGAGUUCCCUGGAACGGGACGCCGCAGAGGGUGAGAGCCCCGUACGGUCGGACGCCGAGCCUCUGUGAAGCUCCUUCGACGAGUCGAGUAGUUUGGGAAUGCUGCUCAAAAUGGGAGGUAAACCCCUUCUAAAGCUAAAUACCGGCCAGAGACCGAUAGCGCACAAGUAGAGUGAUCGAAAGAUGAAAAGCACUUUGAAAAGAGAGUUAAAAAGCACGUGAAAUUGUUGAAAGGGAAGCGCUUGCGACCAGACUCGCGCCCGUCGGAUCAGCCGUCGCUCGUCGGCGGCGCACUCCGGCGGGCUCGGGCCAGCAUCAGUUCGCCUCGGGGGGAGAAAGGCGGCGGGAAUGUGGCUCUACGGAGUGUUAUAGCCCGCCGCGUAAUACCCCCGGGCGGACUGAGGACCGCGCGUAUGCAA
This 551-nucleotide ribosomal RNA is filed under the name Microascus alveolaris. Its description in RNAcentral is "eukaryotic LSU rRNA". It matches the Rfam family "Eukaryotic large subunit ribosomal RNA", at positions 50 to 606 of the family's 3401-position model. Lineage: Eukaryota; Fungi; Ascomycota; Sordariomycetes; Microascales; Microascaceae. The record is from RNAcentral.